GUAAAAUUUCGUGUUUGACGUUAGCUUUAUCAGAUCGCGUUUGAGUGUUCAUUUGAUACUGAUAUCUGACAGAAUUUCAUUUUGAUUCAAGUUACCAUGAAGUCAGCAGUCAUAUUUGUCGCCUUUUUCUUGUUUUUGAUUGUCAACGCAGAUGUUAUUAACUUUGCCAAUCGAAAAUACAUGAAGAGCAAUUUAAAACCUGAACAGAAACUGAUAUAUGGAGGAAGAAGAUUGUAUUAUUAUUUUGGUGGUGCAAAUCAUAAUCCACAUUCUUAUCGAUAUUAUUUUCCUGCAAAAGCUGGGCGCAGCGUUGGACGAAGAGGCGGGCGUUUUGGUCGUCGCUGAUUGACUCAAUGUUUAAGCAUAACACAAUUAAGGUUCAAACAGCAAGUUUUACAUUUUAACUCAUUAAUUUUACCUAUUUUAUAUAAUAACUUCAUUAAUUUCAGGUAUUUCAAGUCUGCUUUAGUAAUCUGUCAAUUUA
This is a long non-coding RNA of Dendronephthya gigantea, 484 nucleotides long. RefSeq lists it as uncharacterized. The record is from RefSeq and is a predicted model, not a curated record. The transcript has 4 exons. Lineage: Eukaryota; Metazoa; Cnidaria; Anthozoa; Malacalcyonacea; Nephtheidae.